AUAACACACACACACAUAUACAUACAUAUAUAUAUAUAUAUGUGUGUGUGUGUGUGUGUGUGUAU
Non-coding RNA from Podarcis lilfordi (Lilford's wall lizard), 65 nucleotides. The record is from the annotation of a GenBank genome assembly. Lineage: Eukaryota; Metazoa; Chordata; Lepidosauria; Squamata; Lacertidae.